RNAcentral lists this ribosomal RNA (364 nucleotides) under Acinetobacter baumannii. Its description in RNAcentral is "bacterial SSU rRNA". It matches the Rfam family "Bacterial small subunit ribosomal RNA", at positions 1167 to 1533 of the family's 1533-position model. Lineage: Bacteria; Pseudomonadati; Pseudomonadota; Gammaproteobacteria; Moraxellales; Moraxellaceae. The record is from RNAcentral.
AGGAAGGUGGGGAUGACGUCAAAUCAUCAUGCCCCUUAUGAUUUGGGCUACACACGUGCUACAAUGGACAAUACAAAGGGCAGCGAAACCGCGAGGUCAAGCAAAUCCCAUAAAGUUGUUCUCAGUUCGGAUUGUAGUCUGCAACUCGACUACAUGAAGCUGGAAUCGCUAGUAAUCGUAGAUCAGCAUGCUACGGUGAAUACUUGUACACACCGCCCGUCACACCACGAGAGUUUGUAACACCCGAAGCCGGUGGAGUAACCUUUUAGGAGCUAGCCGUCGAAGGUGGGACAAAUGAUUGGGGUGAAGUCGUAACAAGGUAGCCGUAUCGGAAGGUGCGGCUGGAUCACCUCCUUUCUAAGGA